Molecule: unclassified non-coding RNA, 240 nt
Filed under: soil metagenome
Description: partial contains 5.8S ribosomal RNA, internal transcribed spacer 2, and large subunit ribosomal RNA
Source: RNAcentral
AAGACUAUAGACCUGCGGAGUACCUGCGGAGGGAUCAUUAUCAAUGUUGGGGGUGGAUUUGGUAAAACAGUCCCCUUCAAUCUCUUUUUUUUUCCCUCGGCUUUGGCUGAAGGAAAAAAAAUCCACUGUGAUCUGUCUCGUCCCGAGGAAACUUGGGGCUAACCUUGAUAAAGGCAGCAAUGCUUUUUCAAGGUAUGGGCUCUCCAGCCCAAUCAAUAUACAUUUUUUUAAUUCUUUUAU